Molecule: non-coding RNA, 564 nt
Organism: Ixodes scapularis (black-legged tick)
Lineage: Eukaryota; Metazoa; Arthropoda; Arachnida; Ixodida; Ixodidae
Source: Rfam
AAGGUGAACAGCCUCUAGUCGAUGGACCAUGUAGGUAGGGAAGUCGGCAAAACGGAUCCGUAACCUUGGGAUAAGGAUUGGCUCUGAGGACUGAGCCGGUCGGGCUGGGGACCUGAAGCAGGAACGGCACUGCACCGGGACUGGGCGGGGCUCGCCGUUCACGCGGCGCGGCCAAGCCCGGACCAGCGUCGGGACCUUCCUGUGGAAAGCCUCAGCUGCGCGGCGUCUGAGGGCUUCGUGCCCAAAGUGCUAUGCUUCGGCCGGCAAAAAACAGUCAACUCAGAACUGGCACGGACCGGGGGAAUCCGACUGUCUAAUUAAAACAAAGCAUUGCGAUGGCCGCUGGUCGGUGUUGACGCAAUGUGAUUUCUGCCCAGUGCUCUGAAUGUCAACGUGAAGAGAUUCAUCAAAGCGCGGGUAAACGGCGGGAGUAACUAUGACUCUCUUGUGGUAGCCAAAUGCCUCGUCAUCUAAUUAGUGACGCGCAUGAAUGGAUUAACGAGAUUCCCACUGUCAUUAAGGAAUGGGGAGAUGAAAAAAGGCUAAGCUUUAACCCGGCCAAGU